Molecule: long non-coding RNA, 31703 nt
Filed under: Coffea arabica (coffee)
Lineage: Eukaryota; Viridiplantae; Streptophyta; Magnoliopsida; Gentianales; Rubiaceae
Description: long non-coding RNA (CARA_LNC002504)
Source: RNAcentral
UUUGUGAAUAUCCAAAAAGAUUAGUAGUUUCUAGUGUAGCAUAGUCAGUAGCAAUCUUGCUCAAUAUCCCUUUGAUGUCCAAUAAUUUGGUGGAGCUUUUCUGAAACUAUCUAAUUUAAUUAACUUCUGUCCAACAAAGCGGCACAACAAGCUUUUUUCUAUCCACCAAGUCUUCUAGCGUUGGAUUCCAAUAAAUGCAGUUUUUGGCAUUGUUAGAAACUGAACCUUUUGUACAGACAGGAUUGAAAUUGUGUGCUCUGUAUUUAGUUUGAAUUUGAAGAUAGCAAUAGCAUUGUCAAAUAUCACAAGCAGUGGGAGUGUUCUAUUUUAUGGUGGAAGAACAUCCUAGACAUGAGAAAAGGAAGAAACUAUGGCAUUUUUUAGUAAUAUUCUCUUCACAAUUUUGAGGGGAAAUGGACUUACAUUGCAAUGGCAUCAUCUGGUGUUAGGCACAAAAGUUAUACAUUGUCCUCUGAAAUUGUUUUUUUCCCUUUUCAUAUACAUCCUCUACAGUUUGGUUGGUCACAAGUUCACUUGAUAAUACUGUCCAGAUGGUAUGAAACUGUAUUGGAUUUCUAUUUCGAGUUUCCUCUCUGAUGGGAUAUGUUUCUCAGGAUCUACCUUCUACAAUUGAUGUUUCUUAGAGUACUCAGUCCACCUUACUGGAUUGUUCUUUCCCCUGAACUUUGUACGCCUCAAGCAAUAGUAUCGAUCAUCUUGAAGUUAUUCGUAAUGUUUUCAUUUGUAGACAACACGUGUUGCUCCCUUUUGAAUUUCUGGCAUUACAGUUGCUUAAAUUUCGAAAUUCGUACAAUGCAGUAUAUGCCAAGGUUUCAAGCAGAGAAUUUGGAGCACAACAAGAACUUGUACGAGCAGGUCAAUGCCAUUGCUUCAAGGAAGGGUUGUACCCCAUCACAGCUAGCUUUGGCCUGGGUCCAUCACCAAGGCAAAGAUGUUUGCCCCAUACCUGGCACUACCAAGAUUGAGAACCUCGAUCAGAAUAUAGGAGCUUUGUCUGUGAAACUGUCGGCAGAGGAAAUGGCGGAACUUGAAUCUAUUGCUUCGGCUAUCAAGGGUGAGAGAUACGAGUCUGACGCUGGCACUUGGAAAACUUCUGAAACUCCACCUUUGUCAACCUGGAAGAGGACAUGAAGGCGUACCUUUGUGAUGGCAAUAAUCCCUUCUAGCUGUGUGCCUGUUGGUGGAUUUCACUAUAUUGGGAGUUGAGUAACAUGUAUUUGUUCCAAGAAAUUUCGUCAUAUUAUUGUCUCGGGGGUUUAAGGCAUGUAAAGUUAUAAUAAGAAGAAUGGAGUUUUAAGAGUGAUUGUAAUGAAUAAAGAUUUGGUCAUGUAAAAGCAUAUAGUAAUUUUCCUUGCAGUAUGCAUUAAAGAUUAUCUAUUGUACUUCUGAAUAUUAUAGUUUGGAAAAAAAAAAAAGGAAUACUUGUUAUCAUUUGGGGGGGGGGAAAAUACUGUAGCUGUCACGCCUCAUUGCUCGCACGUGCCACGUGCUAGUAACGAGACAUCUGUUAUAUUUCUCGCACGUGUUAGUAACGAGACAUCUGUUAUAUUUCUCGCACGUGUUAGUAACGAGACAUCUGUUAUAUUUUUCAAGGACAAGACAAUAUUAAACUAGAAAUACUUACUUAAAAAAUAAUAGCAUUAAUGGAACUAAUUAUAGUGCGGUAUAACUUUGUAUUUGAAAUAACCUAUAAAUAUUUGAGGAUUUCAUAUGCUAAACAUCAAGUAGAGAUAACAUGUGCGAGUAUCAACUAUUAUAGUAUAGCGAAGUACAACUAUACUACUAAUUCUUAUCUCCUAAAGAUUUAGUAGAAAUAAUUUUUUGGGUUUUGGACAUAGACUAACUCAUAAUAUCCAAAAUCUACAAAAGUAAUAAAAAUGGGUUGAGCGAUGAUUGCUCGGUAGGUAGCAGCUACUGUGAUGUCUCGCAAAAAUUUAUUAUUUUUAAAAUCCAUUCCGAGCAUAUUUAAAUAUUUAAUUGUCCAUUUACUCUGAUUAUUAUUUUCUAACUUUUUUGAAUCUAAUUACAUGGAUUUAUAGUUUCAUUAUAUUUUUUUUAAACUGUCUCGUUUCAAAAUUUAAUUUUUGAAAGCUCAUUAAGUGAAAAUGGUGAAUACGCGAUUAGGGAUUUUAGCUGAUUUGAAAAUACCAUAAGUUGGGAAAAUUGGAGACUUGUACAAUGGUCCUAAAAUAAGUAUUUCUAUGUUUAACUAUUCAAGUGAUAGUUAUUAGUACUAUCGUUAUAAGAAUUUCUUGGAAAUUUCGCUUUAUCACGCUAAAGUUGGAGAUACGCGUUUUUACACGCGCGAUUUAAUUGAGGGACUUUAGACCCUUAUUCUGGGACAAUUAAGAGUAAAUAAUAUUAAUAUGAUUAUAAGUAUAUUGGAGGUUUAGGGCACUAGUGAAAUGAACGCGAGAGAAAUCGAGCACAAAACGCGCGCGUACGCGCACUAUUGAAGAGUUGACUUUUGCACCAAUUCUAGCCACACAUAUAAAGCUUUCUUAGGAAGCUAAAUCCGAUCAAAACACUCUCUCUCUUCCUCACAAAGUGGCCGGCCAUCAGCUGCAAAAAUAACCCAAGGAGUUCAUUAUUUUUCAUCUCAAAAUCUUGCACAAAUCAUUUCCAAUUCCUUACAAAUUUCACACACACUUAGCUUAAUACUUGGAGAUCAUAUUAAGCUGCAAAAAGGGGGAGCUUUUCACGGUUUUCUUGAGCUAAGAGAGGGCCGAAAUUCUGCCUUGUUCACCAACACAAGUAAGUGACGAUCAAUCCUCAAAUUCUUGGCCUAUGGAAGUUGAUUUACACUUAUGAGCUUAGAUAUUCAUGUGGGUGGCUUGUUAUUGUUGGAAAAUUUUGAAUGUGGGCUCUAUGAACUCCCAUUCUUGGGUUGAUGGCUGAUAUGAUGCUUGAAGAUGGAUUUAAUGUUGGUUUAGUGCUCAAAUUGGUAGAUUAAUGGUGCAUACCUAGUAUAAACUUCAAGGAGUGCAUGGAUGUAAAGUUUCCAAUUCUGCCCCUGUUAUGAUCGUGCCUCUUUUUGUUGAAUUUUGAGGUUUUAAUGGUUUGUAUAUGAUGUUUAUCUGUUGUAUAGAUGUUGUAUAAAGUUUCAUCGAAAAAUAUUGAGGUUUGGUUGGUCAAAUGGAUUAAUCUCGCACAGCUAGCAAAACUGGAAAAAAUUUUCCAUAAUGCUCAAACAGCCUUCUUGUUUCAUCCAUAACUCUGUGCUUCGAUGUCAAAAUCAAGUGCCGUCAGUGGCAUUUGAAACUAGACAUUCCCAACUUUCCAACGGUAUAAAAUGCAACUCCUAAUUGCACCCGAGUAUUCCGUAUCAACCGUUUAAAGAUGACUGUCCUGUUUCUCUGUUUUCCUGGAACGAAGUUCAAAAUCUACAACUUGAGGCUCGAAUUUGAGCUAGUUGUGUGCUGAAUUUCAAAACGAUUUCUUCUGUGAAAUUAUAGUUUUAUGAAUGUAUUUUGCAACGCCACCAAUCAUACUCAAUUCCGAGUUGAAUUGAGUGAUUUGUGAUCAAAAUACGAAACCUGCCCUGUUCUUGAAAACCCUAAAUUUUGGGCAGAAUUGAUGCUAGACUUGGUGUGGACUUGCCAAUUGAAUUUCUUGGAGUUGAAACACUAACCAAAUGUACCAUGAAUGUUCCUUAGGCUUUUACCACACAAAUGAACCAUGUUUGAAGGAUUUUCCUUGGUCAAAUGUUUUGGAAUGGAAAACAAAAAAAAAAGCUCAAGGCAGUUUUGCCUUAGGAUUUUUCGAAACUUUGGAUGUUUGGUUGACUACCUUUCCGAAGGUAUUUUUCCAUGAAAUUUGAUAGAGGGAUACCCUUUAUAUCCCUUUAUAUAGGAGUAUUAUAUUGCCGAACUUAGUGUCAAUCCAAGUCCAUUUCGCUGCUCGACUAAAUUACCAAGAUUCAUGACUCGAGUUUGGAAAACCCUUGUUUCACAAGGGAAUUUUGGUAAUUUUGAGUUGCCAUAUCUUAGUACUCAAAACUCCGUUUCUCAUUCCGCUUGUUUUGUUGUAAACUUGGAUUGUGACUCUAAUAGAGUUCCUAAUUUCAAAGGCUAGUUCCAAUCAAGUGAAUUUUGCCGAAUUUUCAAAUUUGGCCAAAAAUCAACUUAAAUCUGCCUUAUGAAACAAAACAGCGACUUUGAGCUUAUUUUUGAAUGUUUUCCAUUUAGAAUCUUAGAAAAGUGUAUUCUAGGAACUUUUAGUACCUUGGAAGAGGUUUCCAACGGUACCAAGUUUUCCAAUUUUUGACUUGUAAAGCGUGAGAUACGAUUUUUCUAAUGUAUCGUAUCAAAACUGAAACUUUCCGAAUUCCAAGGAAAUGGAGUUUUUUCAAGUACUUCUUAUUCCUUCGAUAUUAUUUGAACGUUUUAUACUUGAUUUCCAAAAUGAAAACUAAAUUUCUCCUGUACUUUGAAACCCCACUUGAGAGCCUCGAUUUAGGAUAAUUUGGGCUCGUUUCACGAGACUUUCUAAGAUUGUACUAUGGUAUGAUCUUCUUUAAUAGUAGGGGGUUUGUGAAUGAUAGUCUAUUAUUAUUUGCUCAAGCGCACACGAGAACCUUCAGGAGGAUCCCACAGUGAACGCCUAAAGCUCCGAGGGACAUUUCUUCCUCAUUACUUAUAUUGGUGAGUGUCAAGUGUAUGAAUACUUGAUACAUGCUUGAUUGUUAUGAUUGUUUGGAGAUUUUGAAAAUAGAUGCGAGUGUGUAUUUUACCGCACUCGUUCUUAUUUGAAAUAAAUGACUCAUGAUUCAAAUGUACUAAAUGAAUUAUGAAUGGCUUAAUUGAAUGAAAUGAGAUGAUUGAAUGAUUGAAUGAAAUGAAAUGAUAUGCUAUGGCUGCAUACGUCGUUUGAGUGAAUCUCCUCGACCCUCAAAUGAAAAUGGGGGACGCCCAAACUCAUAGGCCGACCUUGGACUCGAGCCGGUAUGGGUUUGGUCGGAAACCUUGGCGAGCCAUGAGAUAAAUAAGCUCGACCUAAUGAGAGGUCUUGCUUGGCAUACUCGUGGAGUAUCGCCUUAUAAAUGUCUUGCGAGCCCGGGAGGUGCACGGUGGACGGAGGGAAGUAAGUGGUGAUCUACGAAAUGGAAAUACCGACCCGGUUGCCGGAGUGUCAUCGCGGGAAGGUAUACGAAUGACAUUGGCAAAGCAAGUGGAAAUUAGCUCCUGAGAGCUCCAAUAUCCUUGAAUUGUUUCUAUUUACUUUUCCGCUCAGAUUGUUAUUUAUUGCAAUAUUGUCGCUUUACUUGUUAAAUUGAGGUUGUUACUUGAACAAUGUGCUUGCAUGUGUGUUCUUGGCCUCACGAGCGUUUUGCUCACCCUGUAGAUUUGUUUUCCUUAACAGGAUUUGGGUUUGGAGUGAGAUUCGGAGAAAUUUCUCUUUUGUGUACUCUUGUAAUAGGGUUCCAACUCUUUUGUCUAGACUUUUGGGAUAUUAUAUAUUUGAGAAAAAUGCAAUUUUGGUACCUAAACUUUGACGGACGAGCGGUUUUAGUCCCCAAAUUUUGGACGAAAACAAAUUUGGUACCCGAACUUUUAAAUUUUGAGCACAUUAAGUACCCUUGACGAUUUUUUCCCAAAUUGUUACCUGAAAAAGCCAUGUGAUAGUCACGUGUCCGGCCGAAAUGGAAUUAAAAAAGGCCAAAAAUGCAGUUUUGGUACCUAAACUUUGACGUACGAGCGGUUUUAAUCCCCAAAUUUUUGACGAAAACAAAUUUGGUAUCCGAACUUUCAAAUUUUGAACACAUUAAGUACCCUUGACGAUUUUUUCUCAAAUUAUUAUCGAAAAAAGUCAUAUGACAAUCACGUGUCCGGCCACAAUUGUAUAAAAAAAGGCCCAAAAAAUGUCAAAUGCCAUUCUAAUACUAAGUAUUAAAUUUAAGGACUAAUAGCGUAAUAAAGAAAAAAUUCAAGAACUAAAUAACAUCACAUGAGUCAACAAAACCCAAGAACUGAUACAAAUGAGCUCCAAUUCCAGACAAAUUUUGUGACUUGAUUCUUAGAUUAAUGUACUGGAAUUGGAGCUCAUUUGUAUCGGUUCUUGAGUUUUGUUGACUCAUGUGAUGUUAUUUAGUCCUUGGAUUUUUUCUUUAUUACGCUAUUAGUUCUUAAAUUUAAUACUUAGUAUUAUAAUGGCAUUUGACAUUUUUUGGCCUUUUUUUUUAUACAAUUAUGGCUUGACACGUGACUGUCAUAUGGCUUUUUUCGGUAACAAUUUGGAAAAAAAUCGUCAAGGGUACUUAAUGUGCUCAAAAUUUGAAAGUUCGAGUACCAAAUUUGUUUUUGUCCAAAAUUUGGGAACUAAAACCGCUUGUGCGUCAAAGUUUAGGUACCAAAACUGCAUUUUGACCUUUUUUUAUUCCAUUUUGGCCGGACACGUGACAGUCACAUGGCUGUUUCCGAUAACAAUUUGGGAAAAAAUCGUCAAAGGUACUUAAUGUGCUCAAAAUUUGAAAGUUCGGGUACCAAAUUUGUUGUCGUCCAAAAUUUGGGGACUAAAACCGCUCGUGCAUCAAUGUUUAGGUACCAAAACUGUAUUUUUCUCUAUAUAUUUUGGGUUGUAUUAUGGAAGCCCGAUAUAAGGAUUGGAUGAUUGUUAUAUCUCAUUAAGCUUGAACGCUUCCGCGUUAAUUGUAUUUAUCUUUUCUGGUUGUUGAUUUCUAGCACCGCUAUAAGCUUGAAUGGUGAUUGCUUGAGUCCUGGCGAGAAUUGAGCAGGCGUUCCGCUGAUACCCUUUGGUUCGCCUUAGGGAGAAGUGGGGGCGUCACAGCUACUCUACUGUUGUACCAUGUAAUUGUAGUAUUACAUAUAUCAAAGCAUUUUCACACACUUUACAUGCACUAGGAGGAUUCGCACGGUGUAAUUUUCAACCUUGCCCAAAAAUGACCAAUUAUUCAAAUUUACAUAUUAAGUAUGAAAAAUUAUAUAAAAAUGAACUUAAAUCUUUGUGGUUAUAUUUUUGUAGUUUUAUUAAACAGUGAAAAUAAGUAAUUUGUUAAGGUAAUGCAAGAUAAUAUAAUCAAUAGAUUACUGAGAUUAUUAAGAUGUCCCUUGUUUUGGAUACAAUGAAAAGAAAAUAAAAAAAAGAAAGAUAUAUUUGAGGAGAAACUGAUAGUUUUGUUCGUAAACUUUUGCAUGAUUGAAUUGGAUAAUCAUUUACUUGUCCUAGAAAUAAAAGAAAUUAGAGGAGAAAAAAUGAAGAUAGAUGAUCAUGCACUUUAGCUUGACAAAGUCCUCAUAUUGGCUCCUAUAACAUGGAAUAGCAAAUUCAUAACAUAAUUGAAGGGAAAAAAAAAAAGAAAAGAAAAGUCGAGAAAUUUUCAUUGUUUGCUCCGACCUCAACAAAAAGCAACCAGUACUCAAGUUUCGCUUAAUCUGCAAAACAAAUAAGGUGGAACAUGUAAUAAACUUAAACAUUUAUUUAAUUUUAAUUUUAUUUUAUUGUGUAAGGUAAGCUAAAUUUAUAAUAAAAAAAAACAAAAAUUACAUUUCUUUGUACAUGCUGAAAGAAAUAGGAUAAGUGUAAGGAAGAAUCAUUCUCAAUCUAGAAAAAUUGGUGACUUUUGAGCAAAUAAAAAAAAUCAUGGCCAAAGUUUCUUACCAAUAUGAGAGUAACUAUCACAAAUUCGGUGAGUUCAAAGCAAAAGCCCAAAUAAGAAAAUGAAAAGAAAAGAAAGUCAAUGUCAAAAACCAGAAUUUGAGGGGAGAUCUCUUGGUGAUGGCAAUAGUUUCUUUUGUUCCUUUUUAAUAAGAGGAAAAGAGCAAAUUAGCAAUGCAAACAAAGCAAAUAUUAAAAUAACUAAUCUCUAAAGCAGAAAAUGGAGAGAAAAACGUCAAAAUUAUGGAAACUUAGUAAAUACUAAAACUUAUGGGCACUUAAGCGCUAUGGAGAUAAACAAACAUUUAGAUUUUUUAGAUUCCUAAAUUUCUAUCACAUAAAACAUUAGACAUCAAAGAAGUAAACAAAAUUUAGCCCAGGCAAUCAUCAACAAACAAAAACCUCUACAUUAUAUCUGUAAAUCAGAAUUCGAACAUAUUAAACUGUAUCAAAAAAAAAAAAGAGAAAUUCCACCAGGCAUGAUAUGAAAACAACAUAUUUAAAAAACUCUUAUAUUGCACAUUAAAUUUUUUCCCAAAAAUAAUUUAAAAAAUGCCUACAAAUGUCCUACAUCAUGCAACAAAGCACAAACCACAUAUAUAUGUGUGUGUGUAUGGAAAAAGCUAAAAAAUUAAAGGUCAGUAAUAUAAAAAAGAAUAGUCGAAGCAACUCAUGACAGGAUCCAAACAGAACAAACAGCUACGAACAAAUACAAAAAAGGUAUAGUGAUGCAAAUUUGGUAUAAAUUUAUCUUUAAUAUCUGCAUUAUCCCUUUAAUCAAUUCAAAUGUCCAUUUGUAUUGUAAGUAAGAAAAUCACAUAAAAGCAAGAUACCAAGUGUCGGACAAAAUCUAUGUUAAGGCUAGAAGAACCACCUAUUGAUAACACCUUCGAGGGCUGCUGGAAUAAGAAUAUCACAGUCUUCAAGCAAAAUAGAAUUGGGAUCAACACUGUCAGCACCCCUCCAUGGUUUUCCCUGACAUGCUUCCAUAGGUUUAGUACGUCAAUUCCCUUACCGUGCUGCUUUAUGGCUCCUGUUAUAUCACUUGCGCGAAUUACCUUUUCCCCUUGUUCACUGAUAAGUUGAGCAGCCCAGGAUCCGACAUUACCAAAUCCCUGAAAUCAAGAAGAAAAUUCUAUGAUCAUAUGACAUUCGAUAAUUUUUGACUUUUUAACUCGCUCUCUCUUCUCACGAGUCAUGAGACAUUUUGUGAUGUAACUUCUAAGUCCUCAAGGAAGGCUCUUUGAAUGAGCUUGUAGUUUCAACAAAAUGCAUCCCACAGUAUUUGAGCAUAUCAGAAACUAAAGGUACACUUGAAACUACAAAUGCAUCCCACAGUAUUCGAACAUAUUAUAAACUGAAGGUACACUUCCCAGUGGUGCUACUUGUACAACAAAUCAUUGCCUAGCGAUACUCUUUCCAUAUUCAUUAAGCAGCGCUUUAGUUGCAAAGAGUACUCCCCUCCCUGUUGGUGCAUCUCUGCCGAGGGAUCCACCAAGAUCAUGUCACCCAAGAAUUUGAAUAUCUUGCGAUAAAUAAAAGUUGAAAUUUUUUGAGGUUCAAAAUCUUAGAAAUCAAAGAAGCACAUUGAUCCUUAUACAUUUGGAAUUGGAUAAUUUACUACAGGUUUUCCAGUUACUAUUGCAGGUGAAUAGCCAUGAAAUUUAUAGUACUCAUCCAAGCCAUUGUCCGCUCAAAUGCGAGACAUUUCCAAUCCAGUUAAUUGGAUGAGCUUCAUAGACAAUGUUGUGUUUAUCACUAUAUUUUUCUCCAAAAACAAAAAUGUCACCUAGAUAUGUACUCCAAUCAUAUCAUACUGUUGAAAACCAGUUUUGCACUGACCUGUGCAUUUGUUCCCAUAUCAGGCGCAGGAACAUCAGUGUGAACUCUAAUCAAAUUAUUCUUAGUGCUGCUAGUGUAACUCAAAAUUUUGGUCAAUGACUAACUUGGCAUGGAAGUUCUAGAUUCCCAGAGGAGAAAUGUAUUAAUUCAUCAAGUGCUGAAAACCAAUGAAGAAAAGGGAACUGGAAGAACUAAAGCAAAUAGAAAGACAUUUUAAAGAUGAAAAAAUCUAUUUUAAACAACUGAUCUUUUUAGUUAGCAUAUGGAUUGCUUUUUCUGAGCAGGAGAUCAACAAAACACCUGCAUGAAAGACACCAAAAAAAUGACUAAAACGAAAACUCGAAAAGAGAAAAUGCCAAAGAAAAUGGCUAAAAAGAAAAGCAUAACAUAAUAAAGAUAACAUAAUAAUAAUUAAUACAGCUAGAGCAUAGCAUAAGCAAUUAUUACAAUAAAUAAAAAAUAAUAAUUAAUAAUUGUGAUUUAUUUGGCAACCAAAAAAAGCAUUGAUAAUUGUGAAUAAUUGGGAUACCAAUUUUUUGUUAACACAAUUUAUUGUUGGGAAAGGGAAAAAAAAGGCUAAAUUUUAGCACAAUCCUACAUGCAAUUAGAAAACUACCACCUCCCAUCCAAUCAAAACUCGCCACAUCACCAUCUUCAUAAACAAUUGGGAGGACUACCACCAAUGAACGAAUCAGAGGACAACAACUCAUCAAAUUAGAAUCAAUUGGAGGACUACCACCAAUCAGCCAAUGAGAGAAUGUCAAGUCAGCAAUUGAGUUCAAUUAGAGACAAUUGCAUUCACACAUAGACUAUGUAUGUUAAUAACUAUUCAAUAUAACAUUUAACCGGUAACAUAUAAUAUUAAUGUGUGGCAAUGGCAACUUGUAGUUCAUGACAUUUAUUAUCAUACAUAAGGAGUUGCAAGAAUAUAAAUCAUUUCAUAGAUAUUCAUAAUUCAUAAUUUCAUAUACAAUCACAAUCCAAUUAUAUUGAUCUGUUCAAACCCGUUUACUAAUAACCCGUUCAAAUUCACCCAUUAAAAUUUAAACGGGUCUAAGUGAGUACGUAAUUAAAUUCAUUUGAUUGGUGGAUAGUUGAUUGAUUGGACUGACCCAUUUAUACUCAUUUAAAAAUAAAUAUACAUUUAAACUCCAUUUUUACUAAAUGUUAAAAAGAUAAAUUUGAAUUUUCUAUUAAUCUAAUAAUAAUAAUAAAAUAUUAUUUUUUUCUUGUUAAACGACAUGCGAAAAAUUAAAAAAAUAAGUAGAAUUUCAAAUCAAUGAUAAAUGGGAAUAUUAACUAUUCCCGAAAUCAUUUCCUCCCUACGCUUAAUUCAUGCGCGUGUGGCCUCCAGUGUCCAUUUUCCCUUACGGUUCACUACAUUAAUCAUCAGUGUACGUGCACGUGCCUAUUUCUGAGCACGUUCCUAUGGUAGGCACGGUCAAACCGUGCCUGCCAUAGAACGAUCCCCACACGCAUCCCUCAUCAGUCCCGUCCAUACUUCUUCUUCAGGUCUCAGCUACUAAACAAUAAACUCUGCUCCACUCAACUCUUUCCUCUGUCUUGUGUUUUUGUCGGAAAAUGGCGGCGUCAGAUGAAGUGAAAGUGCCAAGAAUCAAGCUGGGCUCGCAAGGUCUUGAAGUUUCAGCUCAAGGGCUGGGCUGCAUGGGCAUGUCAGGCUCCUACGGGCCGUCAAAGCCCGAGCCUGAUAUGAUCAAACUCAUCCACCAUGCUAUUAGCAGAGGUAUCACCCAUCUUGACACCUCCGAUAUCUAUGGACCUCACACCAACGAAAUACUCAUUGGCAAGGUACCAUAUUUGCAAAUUUUCUGCUGUUGUGCGCUAUGCAUAAACUCUUGUACUUUUAAUUUCUUAAAGAGCAUAUUUGUAAAUAUUUUAUUUAUACUUAACCCCCUGCACUUCAAAACUUGUCGCCCUUUGUGCCCCCGUAAUUUUGCUUGUCAGCACUUAAACUCCAUUUGUUUAAAUUGUAAGUAUUAUUAGUCAAAUAGGACAUUGUUCUUCUUUUCUGCUUCUUCAUUUUUUCAUGUUACUGCUUUUUCAGUUUGUCCUCCUUUAUAAACAUGGAAUGAAUUACUUUGACUUUGAUUUUGGUGCAAUUUUGUAUCAAAUGAUUUUUGCUAUGAAGUUAUUGAUUUAUUAUGAACUAUGCGUUGUAUAUUUACACAAAUUCUGCUAGUUAAACAUUCAUUUGAGCAGGCAACAUGAGUAAUAUAAUUCUCUAUGGGUGCAUUUGGUAAAUUUGAAGUUUGAAAACUGAAAUUUAAUCUAAAGUUUGAAUCCAUAAAGUUAUUAAAUUGUUAAAUACUAAAUCUGAUACGUUUGAGUGCAUGCCACACUAAAUGAUAAGUGAACAACUCUAUCACUUAUUUUUGGAGUAAGUGUUGCUUAAGAAAUUCAGUGUCAUUUAAUUAAUUCAAAUAUUCAAAUUUGAUUUUAAAUGCUUCUGAACAUAUUAAGAUCUGAAUUCAUUAACUUUAAGUGCUAAAUUAGUUGUCAAGCAGGGCCUAUAAUUAUUAGGUAACCAAGCAAACGUGUUUAGGGUAUAAUAGUAAUUAACUUUCAAUUCGUCUCGUUGUUCUUUGGUAAGGAAUUCUUUGAUUCAUUUAAUAAUAUUUUUCUCGUACACAGGAAUCAAAAUAAUUGAAGUUUUAUCUCUACCAUUGAGAUAUGUUACCUUCUAAAAGAAAGGAAAGGGAAGCAAACAAGGGCGGAAAAUAGGAAAGGGCAAAGUGAUGAUAAAUAAAAUUGGAAGUAGCAAAAUGAGACAAGUGAAUUAUUACAAGGGGUUAAGUGUAAAUUAUAUUUAUUUUAUUAGACUAUUUAACCAAAAAGACUAGACUCUUUUAAGGCACCAAUCAAAAGUCCCAACUGCUGGAAAUAACAUAAAAACGACUUUGUUUGGUUUGGCGUUUUUGGAGGUGGUUCAUGAAAAUUUUAUUGUAGUUUUUUUUUCUUUCUUGAAAAAAUAUACUUGUAAGAGAAAAAAAAAGUGGUUGAAAAAUAUUGAGAGUUUUUUUUUAUAAAUAGUUUUCUAUAUAGCUCAGUCACCCAAAUUUUUCAAUAUUCCGACAAUGGCAUCCAUGUGGUGUCAAUUGUCAAACGUGCAACAAAGUUGAGAAGAGAAGGAUUUCAAAAUCUUGUAGCUACACGCGUAUAUGUUGAAUAGCUCUAUCCCAUUAGAAGUAGCCACGUGACAUGAAGGAUUUAGAACUUUUCUACCAUCUCUUUAUUUUCUCUUUUUUUUCCCUUCAAAAUUCGACGUCAUAAUGAAAUUGGUAUUUUUGUCUUUGAAGUUAAAACUUUCAUCAAUUAAUGGAAAGUUUACUAUUUCUCUGAUAAGAGAGAGUAAGUUUUAAAGAUUAUGAAAAGAGAAUUGUAUGAAGGAAUAGAAGGGAAAAGAAAGGUAAGAAAAUGGACGGAUUGUGUUUGGAUUGAUUUUGAGAGAGGAAAGGAGAUGAAACGGAAAGAAAAGGAAAUGGAUGGAUUUUGUUUUGCUCAGACAUCAUUUCCAUACAAAAGUAGACGGAAACAGAGGGAAAGAAAAUCUAUUGACAGGUGCCGAACCUGUACAAUAAUAAAUACCUACUCGAGAAAAAUACAGAUUUUGUAUAUAGCGGUGAGUAGGGUCGAAUCCACGGGGACUGGGGAUAAUUCGUUUCUUCUAGAGUCCAAAGUAUGGGGGGUUUUGGAUUGAAUGCUAACUAAAUAAAUAAACUGCAGAAAAUAAUUGAUAAAGAGAAAUAAUUAAGGGAAAACUCUAGCCAAGGGUACACUUCAGACAUGGUUCAGGCACUGAUCAUUGAUUCACACAUAAUUCCACAUUUAUUAAUAGACCAGUUAUAGUUGUCAUGCACGCGAUAAACAACCAACCUUUCCUUAAUUUCUCGAUAGUUAAGGUACGACCGUUAACUAUUUCUCUAACCCAAAAACAACCCUAGGUACGACCGUAGGAUUUAAUUUCUAGAUUGCAUUAAUAAUUAGAAAGGCCCAAUCCUAACUAACAAACACGCUACGGGGGUUUGUUUAAGUUAGAUCGUAUGCUCCCCUGACAUAAACCCAAUUACGCCAGUUGCUACUGAGAUAAAGAUAACGAAUAAUUACGGAUUCAAUUAUCCCUAUUUAGCAAAAUAGCCUAUGUGAAUAAUUAAAUAUUGCGCAUCUAUUCAAUCACUCACACGAGCUAUAGCAAUUAAAAGCAGGAAACAUAUAAAUAUAAAUAAAUUAAGGAAGCAAUUAAAAUAAAUUAGAUCUCACAGUAAUUGUUGAACCAAAUCUUCAGUUGUCCCCUUGAUUUGAAUUAAGAGGUUAGUUCUCCAUUAAUGGAGAACAACCAUGCGAAAGAGCUAAGAAAAGAAAACUCAAAACUCAACUAAAAACCUCAAACUAGUGAUUCAUUCCUCCCCGUUCUCUUGUACGUUUCUCCCUUUUUAAAGCCAAAAGGAAGUCUAAUGCUAUCUCUAGUGGUCCCCACACCAAAUUCAAAGUCUUGUACGUUUCUUUUCCUAGAGUCCAAAUGAUUCAUGCUUCUUAUCCGUGGUCCCCGCACAUGUGGACAAAGCCUUCCAAGUACUUCUUGUUCCAAGUCUCUUUCCGUAGCUUUCUUUGAAGAGCCCAAAUGACUUAUUAGCUUUUCACUAGCUUGUGGUCCCCACCACUCCAAGGGCCCAAGAAUUGAAGUCCUUAGAAGUCUCCCUAUUUUCCAUAAAGUGCUUCCUUUUUGGUAGUUUCCUGCUUCAUUCAUGAAAUUAAGUCCAGAUACCAAAUAUGAGUAAAUAUUAGCAAUUAACACAAUAUUUAUCAGGGAUGAAAGGGGAAAUUAAUAAUAAAAUUACUAACAAAUUAUACCCUAUCAAUUCCCCCCACACCUGAAUCAUGCUUGCCCUCAAGCAUGGGAAAAAUUCAACUCAACAAUGGCUAGCUUUCACAUUAUCAUAGCCAGCUGUGCUUAUACCCAAAAUCAAGAUCUAGUAACAAAGUGUCAAGACAUGUCUCUCCCGGUUAGCUCCUAAGUUCAUAGACUUGUCCAAUUCAUGGCUAAUUCGCUUAGGAAAUCCAAAUACUAACUAGCAACAGUCAAUAACUAAGUCAACUGGCAACCAAAAUCUCAACAAUACGAACCAAGGAUCGGCAGGCUAACAUGAUCAUAAACUCACAUAUUCUCCACAUCUGAUUUUCUCUUCUUUUUUUUUUCUUCUUUUUUGUUUGAUUUCCCUUUUUUUUCUUUUCUUUUUUUUUUUUCCUUUUUCUUCCCUUUUUUUUUUUGGAUUGCUUAGUCCCGAGCUGUUUAAGUCUUUUGACGUGAACUCUAACAUUUUUAGAUGAAAGAGCCCAGUUACUCAACUUUUCACUGCUCCAGGACCACUUACUCAUAAAUAUCGCCACUUUUUGACGCGAGAGCCGACACUUGUGGUGAAGACUCCCGGUUACUGGGUGGCGACACUAGCGGAGUAUAGCCAUACGUUAUUCACCAAUAAACACCAAAAUAUCAAGUAAUUAAAGAUCAUAGCCUGCGUCAUGUCCUAAAUAUGGAGAACUAAGGUAGACAGGAGACCAAUCCACACAACAAUGCCAGCCAAAUAUUUACAUUGCCUAAACAAGUUAGCCAUAAAUUGCACCAAGUCGUUAAACUCAAAAAAAAAUUCACCAAGACAGCAUGCUCUUACUUGCCACCGAAACUCAAUUCAUAGUGUAAACUACAACUAGCAAUAAAUAAAUGAGCUGCCAAAAUAUUCACCAAGAUAACAGCAAGGGAAAAAUACCCAAAAGGGAUAAAGGAACAACACCUAAACAGAAAACAAGAGGAAAACAAUAAUAAAAAAAUGAAAAACUGAAAAUAUCCAGCACCCAAACUGACCCCCCCACACCUAAAAUGACGCAUUGACCUCAAUGCGAAAAGAUAAUAGCAGAAAAAGGGAAGGGGCAACGGUACUUCCCUGAAGUCGUCCAGACAAGGGAGGGUUAGGCGGAAACGGCGGAGGGAAACCGGCUUGCUGCAUAAAUGCCGCUAUACUCUAUGCCAUGCCGGCGACAUUAGUGUCAACAGUGACCAUCCGAGCCUUCAAAGCCUACGUUUCUGAAGCCUUUAUUGGGCCACAUAAAACGCGAUUGAAAACGCGCCUUCAACUCGCGUUUUCUAAGUCGCGUUUCCUUCACAAAACUUGCAGGACUUAAAACGCGAUUGAAAACGCGCCUCUAUGCAGGUAAACGCGACUUCAAGUCGCGUUUUUGAAUCUUGACCCCUUCCUGCACUUCAUCACGCGGGCGCGUCAAGAGGAAAUGCCACCUACAUAUUAGCAACAACGAAAACUGAAACCCAAAAUCAGUCGAAUUCAAGGGAAAUAUAUUUAAACUAUCACACGAAAUCAAACAAACAAUUAAAAGAAACAAUUGGGUUGCCUCCCAAGUAGCGCCUUUCUUUAAUGUCUUUGGCUAGACAUGCUAUGCUUGUUCACGGGGGAUAAAAUCUUGUGGCUCGUUUCAAUGUUUCAUCUUCAAUAUGAUCCUGGUAACCCUCAUAGAUGGAGUAAUCUUUGAGCACACGAGUUACGGGCUUCCAUGGACUAGUAAAUGGCGUUAAACAAGUCAACAAUGAUCUGCAUUCUCCACUCACUCCUCCACCACACGCAUUCAUCGGUUCAAGAUAUUUUUCCAUUGCCACUCUUAACUUAUUCCUGUCAUGAAAUUUCAGAUUUUCUGGUAUAAUAAAAUCAAUUUCAGUAACAGGAAUUGAAGAGGAGGAAUUAGGAAAAUAUUGAUUAAGGAGUGGAGAAGAUGUCACCGCAUUUGGAAAUUGUUCACUGGAUUCAUUCACUUGAAUAAUUUGAUGUUGGAGUCUCAUGUCUUCCGCUUCAACUUCCUUUUCAACUGUAUCUUUGGAUCCUCCUUCUUGAGACUCUUGCAGUUCCAUAUCACUUGUCAGGAUAAUUGCACUCUCACCUUUCUUAGAGUCAUUGAUGGUCUGUGAGGGCAAGUCUGACAUGAAUGACGAUUGUUGAGACUCUUGCAGCUGAAAACUCAUUGGCCCCUCUUCAUAAUUAACGUUGGAGUUAUCCCACCAUCCUUGAUCAUACCGGUUUGAAUAAGGGUCAUACCACGUUUGAGAUCGAGGUGAAGAAUCUCCAAAUUUUUUUUUGAGAUAGUCACUCAGGUAGUCUUGAUAUUCGGGGCACAUACCGGUUGAAUGAUCCCUGGCAUAACAAAUUUCACAGGUUGCAGCAGCCAUUCUUUCUCUAACAGAGUUUAGUGCCUCUGCAUAUGCAGACCUCACAAAAAAACUAGCCUCAUUACCUUCCCCGGAAAUAAAAUCCAGUAUAUCACCAAAAUACGGAGUGUAAGAAACCAUAAACUAAAUAAAAAAAAAGAAUGUAAACAAGAUGAAUUGAAAAAGAAACAAAUAACUAGCGCCAGUCCCCGGCAACGGCGCCAAAAAUUGACAGGUGCCGAACCUGUACAAUAAUAAAUACCUACUCGAGAAAAAUACAGAUUUUGUAUAUAGCGGUGAAUAGGGUCGAAUCCACAGGGACUGGGGAUAAUUCGUUUCUUCUAGAGUCCAAAGUAUGGGGGGUUUUGGAUUGAAUGCUAACUAAAUAAAUUAACUGCAGAAAAUAAUUGAUUAAGAGAAAUAAUUAAGGGAAAACUCUAGCCAAGGGUACACUUCAGACAUGGUUCAGGCACUGAUCAUUGAUUCACACAUAAUUCCACAUUUAUUAAUAGACCAGUUAUAGUUGUCAUGCACGCGAUAAACAACCAACCUUUCCUUAAUUUCUCGAUAGUUAAGGUACGACCGUUAACUAUUUCUCUAACCCAAAAACAACCCUAAGUACGACCGUAGGAUUUAAUUUCUAGAUUGCAUUAAUAAUUAGAAAGGCCUAAUCCUAACUAACAAACACGCUACGAGGGUUUGUUUAAGUUAGAUCGUAUGCUCCCCUGACAUAAACUCAAUUACGCCAGUUGCUACUGAGAUAAAGAUAACGAACAAUUACGGAUUCAAUUAUCCCUAUUUAGCAAAAUAGCCUAUGUGAAUAAUUAAAUAUUGCGCAUCUAUUCAAUCACUCACACGAGCUAUAGCAAUUAAAAGCAGGAAACAUAUAAAUAUAAAUAAAUUAAGGAAGCAAUUAAAAUAAAUUAGAUCUCACAGUAAUUGUUGAACCAAAUCUUCAGUUGUCCCCUUGACUUGAAUUAAGAGGUUAGUUCUCCAUUAAUGGAGAACAACCAUGCGAAAGAGCUAAGAAAAGAAAACUCAAAACUCAACUAAAAACCUCAAACUAGUGAUUCAUUCCUCCCCGUUCUCUUGUACGUUUCUCCCUUUUUAAAGCCAAAAGGAAGUCUAAUGCUAUCUCUAGUGGUCCCCACACCAAAUUCAAAGUCUUGUACGUUUCUUUUCCUAGAGUCCAAAUGAUUCAUGCUUCUUAUCCGUGGUCCCCGCACAUGUGGACAAAGCUUUCCAAGUACUUCUUGUUCCAAGUCUCUUUCCGUAGCUUUCUUUGAAGAGCCCAAAUGACUUAUUAGCUUUUCACUAGCUUGUGGUCCCCACCACUCCAAGGGCCCAAGAAUUGAAGUCCUUAGAAGUCUCCCUAUUUUCCAUAAAGUCCUUCCUUUUUGGUAGUUUCCUGCUUCAUUCCUGAAAUUAAGUCCAGAUACCAAAUAUGAGUAAAUAUUAGCAAUUAACACAAUAUUUAUCAGGGAUGAAAGAGGAAAUUAAUAAUAAAAUUACUAACAAAUUAUACCCUAUCAAUCUAGUUCAUGAUUUUCUAGUAAAAUGCCUCAAGCACCCAAAAUUUUACGUAAACUUGAGUAAGCAUGUAUUUCAUAUCUGUAGAACUUGCCAUUUGUGAAACCUGCUUUAGAUAUGAAUUGUGGUAUGCAACAGCACGCUAGGAAUGUUUGGCUAAGCAACUUAUGUAAAUAUUUUAUCGUUAAGCAAAGUUCCUCCUUUCAUGUCUGUCAUUCUAUGCAAACCUCCUUUUAUCGUUAAGCAACUUAUGUAAAUAUUUUAUGUAAAUAUUUUGGUUUUCUUACUUUCCCAUCCAUAUCUAAUCCAAAUAUGACAAAUGAGAACUAUUUUCCUCUACUCUCCUUUCCUUUCUUUUUUACUAGGAUGUUUUAUUUAUUUAUUUAUCCUUUCCUUUGAUCCAAAUGGUUCCUAAAAGGGCACUAAUUAAUCUACAUUGAUCAGUUCCCUAUAUUUGUAUUAAUGUGCAUGUACACGAUUCUGUGAAUGACAAUUAGGCUAGAUUGCUUCAAAUCUUGUGAAUGACAGAGCUAGAUUGUAAAUUUAAGUUGAAGAAAUAUAAAACAAAAAGAAAAAGAAAAUGGAUUGGCUCCUUUAAGAGUAUCAGACUUCUAAACCCCAAGGAUUACAUAAUUUUCAUAUCCUUUGCCACACAAAGAAGUGGCAUAGCCUUAACAAUGAAGUGUUGGAAAAACUCCAGAAGGACUGUGCAAUCCAUGAAAUCACAAAAUCCGCUUGCUAUACCAUGCAUUAAUGUGUAUGUCCUUGAUGAUUAACAUAAUGAAAUCAUGGUUCUAGGCCUUGAAGGAAGGAAUAAGAGCGAAAGUGGAGCUAGCAACAAAAUUUGCAAUCAGUUAUCAGGAUGGGAAAUUUGAUGUAUGUGGUGAUCCAGCCUAUGUGAGGGCUUGUUGUGAAGCGAGUUUGAAGCGGCUUGAUGUGGACUGCAUUGAUCUCUAUUAUCAACAUCGCAUCGAUACACGUGUGCCCAUUGAAGUCACGGUUUGCUCCAUUUUGCCUUUCUUGUUUUUUAGCUCCACCUCAUUCUUGAUGAAACAAAAGUUUGAUCAACUCCAAAUUUAGAAUAAUUCAGUUUCAUGUCCGUUUCAAUUCUUCAAAAAUUGCACAGAAAAGUUAGUCAACCUUAUGGUCUAGGCUAAUCUGCAGUAUGGUAUUGCUGAAUUAGCACAAGGCAUCCUGAAAAGUGAAAACAAUGAAAAUGUCUUAUAUUAGCUUGACAGUCCUGCUGAGGGAUAUACAGGUUGAUAUCAUGCUAUACAUUAUACAGCUUUCGUUUAGAACCAAGAGACCUGAGCAUUCUUUUUCAUUUGAGAUAGGCUAUCCAGUUGAGAUAUACUAUUUACUUACCUUGUCAAUCGUUUUCAGUCGGUGCCAAAAGCACUGCAGAUAGACGUUUUUUAGUCAAUAUCUAAAAACAUGGUACUCAUUUUGUUCAGAGUAUAGCUUUUUGUCUAAUUGUGAAAGCCAACUGCAACUGCCUCAUUGACCUCUCCAAGCAAUUCAAAGAUUUCAGCAGCUUGCUUACAUUAAGCUUUUAUGAAACGAUUUCUCUGUCUUCUUUUUCUCAUGUAGUCAGCAAAGAAUUGUCUUGUUUUCCCUGAGUAUUAGGAAGAAACUUUCUUGCAGUUUAAUCACUCAAAAUACAGGCAAGUAUAAAGGAAAUCAAGCAAAAUUGGCAACUGAUAAUUGCUGCGUACAGCCAUUAUUAUAUAUAUAAGUCAACAAUGUCAUGUAAUCAUAUUGGAGGAGCAUUAUGUUGGCAUGGUCCAGUAGAACUAAGUCAUCCGUUGGGCUGUACAUAGAGAACUAUCACUGGAUGCUUAUUGCCAUUUUCAUCAACUAGGGAUUUCAGUUUGACGUAUACUUUGUCCAAGACUUCGUUGAACUAGUGCAACUUUUACUUGUUCCACGUAAUAUUUCGAUUAUCUGCCUAAGUAUUGAAUGUAAUAAAUCAGCUUCGCAUCUUCUUGUCCAUUGAAAUUCUCUAGAUUGGAGAGCUCAAGAAACUGGUUGAAGAGGGUAAAAUAAAGUAUAUAGGUCUGUCUGAGGCCUCAGCUUCAACAAUUCGAAGAGCACAUGCUGUUCAUCCAAUAACAGCUGUACAGUUGGAGUGGUCAUUGUGGACCAGAGAUGUCGAGGAAGAGAUUAUUCCCGCUUGCAGGUAGUGCGUAUAUUCUGCUGCAUUUUCUACAUGGUCUAGAAGAAAUAUGAAGUUCUCAAUUCAGUUUUUGGUAUAAUCUUUCAGAGAUCUUGGCAUAGGGAUUGUUGCAUAUAGUCCACUUGGACGAGGUUUCUUCUCAUCAGGUCCAAAGCUGAUCGAGAAUUUGGCUGAAGGUGACUUCCGAAAGGUUUGUGCAUAGCCAAAAAGAUUGUUUAUAGUUCGAAUAAGUUUCUCACUCAGUGGCAAUCUUGCUUGAUCACAUUUAAUCAAAUUUCUAUUAAGCAUAGCAAUUCAACGGGUUUUUUUUUGUUUUCUUCUUGAACAAGUCUUGAACUCUUUAGUUUGAUUCAAUGAAUGCAGAUUUUGGUGUCCUCGGUACUUAGUUCAAAUUAAAAGAUAUAGCACUAGCUUUGUCAAAUUUUAGAUCUUAUAUGAAUUGAAGGUUGUUAUUGCAUGCUGGAAAUUUAUAUAGAGGACAACAAUCGCAAGCAAUGGAUGGUAUUGAAUUUUAAAGUGCAAAGACGUCCUAAGAUGUCAAAACAGGAAGAAACUAUGCCAGUUUUUAAGUAAAAGUCUCUUUACUGUUUUGAGGGGAAAUGGGCCUUAGACUUCAAUUUCAUCAUUUAGUCUCAGGCACAGAACUUAUGUUGUCUUGUGAAACUAUCAUUUUUCUUUUACCAUUAAUCCUAAAACUGAGUUUCAUUGGUCAGAACUCAGAAGUAUACUUCAUAGUUGAUUUGUAUUUUAAGUUUCCUCUUUGAUGGGAAAUGUAUCUCAGAACUUAACUCCAACAGUUGAUGAUUCCUACUUGGGAGUAUUCAGUCCACCUUGAUGCAUUGUUCUUUCCCCUGAACUUGUGCCCUUCAAACAAUAUUUCUGAUCAUCUUGAAGUAAUUAGUACCGUCUGUUCAUUACUCCCUUCUGAUUUCUUGCAUUAUAGUUUCCUCUUUAAUGGGAAAUGUAUCGCAGGAUCUACCUUCUACAAUUGAUGUUUCUUUCCCCUGAAGUUAUUCGUAACGUCUUCUGGCAUUAUAGUUGCUUAAAUUUUGAAAUUCAUACAAUGCAGUAUAUGCCAAGGUUUCAAGCAGAGAAUUUGGAGCACAACAAGAACUUGUACGAGCAGGUCAAUGCCAUUGCUUCAAGGAAGGGUUGUACUCCAUCACAGCUAGCACUGGCCUGGGUCCAUCACCAAGGCAAUGAUGUUUGCCCCAUACCGGGCACUACCAAGAUUGAGAACCUCAAUCAGAAUAUAGGAGCUUUGUCUGUAAAACUGUCUGCAGAGGAAAUGGCGGAACUUGAAUCCAUCGCUUCUGCAGGAGUCAAGGGUGAUAGGUAUGGGCCUGGCCUUGUUACUUGGCAAACUUCUGAAACUCCACCUUUGUCAACCUGGAAGAGGACAUGAAGACAUAUCUUUGUUAUGGCAAUAAUUCCUUCUAGCUAUGUGCCUGAGGGUGGAUUUCACUAUAUUGACAGUUGAGUGACGUAUUUGUUCCAAUAAAUUUCGUCAUACUAUUGUCUCGAGGUUUUAGGCAAGUAAAGUUAUAAGAAGAAUGCGUUAAAGGUUUCUUCAGAGGUUGUACUGAAUAAAAAUCUGAUCAUGUAAAAAUAGAACAUAAUUUUCCUUGCAGUUGAAUGCGUUAAAGGUUAGCUAUUCUAGUUUUGAAUGCUAUAGCAGUCCAUUUCUUAUAUGCUACACUGUUACAAGAGAUAUAGACUGUCGAACAGCAUUUUAUGGUCGGAAUGUUUACAUCAAAAGCAUCUCCAAGGACAUGUCAUUCUAAAGUGUAUAAACUACAUCAUACCAACAAAAAGCAGAAAAAGGCCUAAGGUAUGGGAUAUUUCUAAAAUUUCAUGGGAGGCUUGUGAUAGCAAAAACUUCUGAAAUUGUCCCUUGAACUAAACUGAAAGACAGACAAUGGUAAGAUUUUAAGCAUGUCUUGUUAAGUUAAAAGGUUAAAACUUUACAUACAAAUAAAUGGUCAAAUUCACUUUAAAAUUGUGGUGUCAUCUUCCACCUUAAACUUUUGUACUAUCCAAGUUUGUUUUAAUUCCUUUGGGAAAAUGAAACAUCGAAUGCAUUCAAAAAAAUGGAAAGGAAAUGGCUUACCUUUGCACUUACGUAUCCAAUUCCAAUUUGAACAUUACAUCAUCCAUCCAAUUGAAAACAAACUCCUAUGGAGAUUUUUUUUUUUCCUUUAUUUUGUUAUUAGAUCUGAAUUUAUUUCACAUUUGGUUGUCAGAUCUAAAAUUUUUUUCAAAGUUUGAAUCUAUUUCAAUAUAUUUCAUUAUCAUUAUUGAAACUUAAAACAGUUUAUUAACAAAUCUGGCGAUUGCCAUAUGUACGAAAGGGAGACACUUUUAAAAUUCUUUAUAUUUUUUUAGAUCUGUUUGUAAUUUUCAAUUCUACUGUAUCUGUUAAAUUAUGAUCUGUAAUUUUUAAUGCAUGUUUGACCUACCAUUAGGGGAGUUAUGUAAAUCAAAUCAUGUUAGAUGAUUUCCAAAAAAAACUUAACCGUUAAUUUCUCUUCCCCGUUUUAUUUGUCCACUCUUCAAUUGUCAAUAACUCUUUUAAGAUACUUUGUAAUACAAAAUCAACUAAAACCGGUAGAAUCUGUAAUUAAUAGCAGUAUUCAUAUCAUGUUUUUGUAUAUUACUCGUACAUCUAAUUAGUCACAUUUGGAGAAAGAAAAAAAAAAGAUGAAAAUAAAAUUCCCCGAAUUUUGUGGUUUUUUUUGGUGCCUUGUUUAAUCUCUAAUUUUGUUUUUUGGGUUUUUAUUUUAAUCGAUUUUGGUUAUAGAGAUUAAGUUUCUCAGCCCGAUUAAUCGGUUAAUUAAUUAAACAUGGUUUGAGUUGGGUUGGUUUAGAGAUUUGGUUUAUAAAAGGACACUUGGCAAGUUUAGAAGGGGUGGGAUAGGGAAUGAGAUAGGGUGUGAUACAGAGAUCCGUUGCGCAUGGCGAGCCACAUUUAAAAAUUGGUUCCUACCAUAAAGCCUAUCAUGUCCUGACACAAGAUGGACUGUUUUUUUAAAUUUUUUUUGAAAGCAAGUGAAAAGUGUUGCAACUCAGGACUUGGAUAGUAAUUUUAAAAUUUAAUAGUGCACCUACCUUUUAACUUUUUUCGUGUGCUUUUAAGGUAUCAAAUGGGGAAAAAAACCAAUACCAUAUAACUUCAAAUGCAAGAUGGUACGAAAUUUGUUAAUAUGGAGAUGUUAAUAUACAUUGACAUGUAAAAAGUGCACUUUUAUCAAAAAGAUAUUUAUACUAAUAUUACAGUCAUUUUUUUUUCGAAAAUUCAACUUUUCAUGCAAAUAUGUAAUCAAUAUGCAUAAAUAGAUAGCAUUAGAUGAAUUUAAACAAGUAGCCUUCAAAUUUAAAAAUAUUUGAUUUCGUAAAUGUGCAUUCGCGAUUUAGAAAAAGUACUUUUCAAAUGGCAAAUCUAGAGAGCAAUAAAUACUCCUAGUUUAUUUUGAUUUUAAAUCUUCUUUUGACUUGUCAAAAAAGUGAAAACAUGAAACUAAUAAUGGGUCAGAUGCAGAUGAGUAUUAGAAAUUUGUUUUCUAGACUCUUUGGUCUCGCAAUUUUUUCAACAAUCAACUCCGACCAUUAUCACGGUCAUGUGAUUGUAGGUCUACCAGGUUUCGUAGUCCACGACAUGGAUUGGAUAUGUUGAUUAGCUGCCACCUUUUGGCGGGAGGUGAGGUUCAAACCUCACCUGCAGUAAAAAAAAAAAACUUAAGGGUUGUGUCAUAGUACUUUCUUGAUUUAGUUGAAUAUGUAUAUCCACUAACACCUAACACAAGUCUCCUUAUGCUCCCCUAGAUUAGGAUAGAAUAGGAUAUACAAUUGUAUCGUUGCCGAAAAAAAAUAUUAGUUGCCACCCUAUUGUCAUUAUUUUUCUUUUGUCAAUCAGCAACGUCUAUUCUACUCAUAGUUAUUAAACCCGGCCCGGGAAGGAGUCCGGUGAAAGAGCUGGGUCAACGGGUUACUGGUUUAACCGGUGGGUGAGUGGUCCAACCGUUAGGUCACUACAUAUAUUUAAAUAUUAUGUUUUAUAAUUUUUUACGCCAUAAUAAAUAUUCAGUUAGUUUAAUUUAUUAUAGAUUCAUUAAUUUUUAUAAGAAUUAACAACCUAAAUUUAAUUAGUAAUCCACCAACUUUCAAGUAUAAAAUUUUAUCUCAGUGUAAUUAUCUAGUUUAUUUAUGAAUUUUAAGUGCAAAAGUUUAUUAAGAAUAAUAUUGGCCUUUAAAAUGAUUUGUGUAAUAUGUUAUUUUUAAGUCAAUUUCAUAAUUUAUAGAGUUCAGGGAAUAAUAAAAAUAUUAUUAAAAGAUUCCAAAUAAUUAAUACUCUAAUAUAUAGUAUAAGAACAAAAUAAUUAAUAUAUGGUUGGCUGGUCUAGUGGUAAUGGUAGUCUACUUUUUUGCAUGAGAUCACGUGUUCGAAUCUCCAUUCUAGCAAUAUUUAUACAUUUUUUUCUUUUUCGUAGAACGGGUUCAAUGUUGAAACGAUCUUAUCAAGAACUCGGCUCGGUUUCAUGGCCGGUUUACCGGAUUGAUCGAUUGAACUGCCGGGCCGGAUCGGAUUUAAUAACUAUGAUUCUACUUCUAUUUUGAUUUCUAUUUUAGGGGAAGGGGAGGUCCAAUUGAAAAAUUGAUAGCUAUUGAACCAUCAUCGGAUAAAAUGAGUGCACUAUGCACGUAUGCGAAUCUAGGAGAAGCCGGCGCAAUGAUGGGAGGCAAUGUUUGAAUUUUUACCUGUCAUUCCACUAAGAUUUAUAGUCUUUGGUGGUGGCUAAUCACCCAAAGAGCUGUUGGUUAGCUCCCACCCUAUUAGAAACUAAAGGUUUUCAACCUUCUAAAAAAAAUGUUUUUGACUUUAAAAAAAAAUGUUUUUGUUUUUGUUUUUUCAAAAAUUAUUUUCAUCUAUCACCAACGGCAGUCAUGGGUUAUUUAUCCAAACAUAGAUCCGAACAACACUAAUCUCUCAGCAGCCAUCCCCUCAUUCCUUCUUGUAUCCUUUUUAUGAAUAGGAUUCAUCUUUUUGGUGUUCUAAAAUCACAUUUAAAAAGUUUUUUUCCCGAAAGUGUUAUUAUUUAGGAUGUGAAUGUUAAUUUUAAAAUUUUAAUAGUGGACCUAAAAAAAACUUGUAAAUUUUACAUAUGAGCACAAAGGGAAAAAAAACACCACAUAACUUCAAGUCCAAGAUUGUAUGCAGUUUGUCCAAUAAAUAGAUAUUCAUAAUUCAUAAUUUCAUAUAUACAUGUUAACUAAAAGCGUUAAUCACAAUCCAAUUAUAUUGAUCUGUUCAAACCCGUUCACUAAUAAUCCGUCCAAAUUGGCCCAUUAACUUUAAAUGGGUUAAAGUGAGUAUAUAAGUAAACCCAUUUAAUUGGUGGAUAGUUGAUUGAUUCGUCUUACCCAUUUAUACCUAUUUAAAAAUAAAUAUACAUUUAAACUCAAAUUUUACUAAAUGUUAAGAAGAUAAAUUUGAAUUUCCUACGAAUCUAAUAAUAAUAAAAUAUCAUUUUUCUUGUCAAACAACAUGUGAAAUAUUAAAAAAAAAGUAGAAUUUCAAAUUAAUCAUAAAUGAGUAAUUGAGUAUUCUCAUAUCUAUUUGUUAAAUGGAUAUAAAUGAAUUGAUUCAAUUAUAACUAUUACUCAACUAGAAUCCGCUCAAACCCGUCUAAGUUAAUCAUUUGACACCCCUAAUGUUAAUAUAUAUUGACAAGUGAAAAGUGCAGCAUUUAUCACGAAGAUAUACUUAUUUAUCUCAAUAUUAAAGUCAUUUUUUCAUUACAAAAAUAUUGAUAAUUUCAUAAUUUCAUGGAAGUAUGUAACCAGUGACAUAACAUAGUCGCCAGUGGCGAAUCUUGUCACGAGUCCUCUUUUCAACACUUUGAUUAUGGGAUACACUUUUAACAAUAUGCCCCCACGUUGUUUUUCGAUCACUUUUUUUUUUUAAACCUCACAUUCGUUCGUUAUGUAUGUAUAAUUUCUUUUCAAAAAACUCCAAAAAAGUGGCAGCCCAAACGGGGCCAACAAUCUACUAUGUUCGGCUGUUCUCCCGCCGGACCCACCGCCGGCGGCCAAUAGCCGCCGGACCCACCGGCCGCCGGCGGCCAUGGCCAUGGGUCAUCUAUAAAAGCAUAGAUCAAGACUACACUAAUCCCUCAUCAGUCCAGUCCAUCCAUACUUCUUCUUCAGGCCUCAGCUACUAAACAAUAAACUCUGCUCCACUCAAUUCUUUCCUCUGUUUCUUGUGGUUUUUGUCUGAAAAUGGCGGCAUCAGAAGAAGUGAAAGUGCCAAGAAUCAAGCUGGGGUCGCAAGGUUUUGAAGUUUCAGCUCAAGGGCUGGGCUGCAUGGGCAUGUCAGCCUUCUACGGGCCGCCAAAGCCCGAGCCUGAUAUGAUCAAACUCAUCCACCAUGCUAUUAGCAGAGGCAUCACCCAUCUUGACACCUCCGAUAUCUAUGGACCUCACACCAACGAAAUACUCAUUGGCAAGGUACCGUAUUUGCAAAAUUUCUGCUGUUGUGUGCCAUGCAUAAAAUCUUGUACUUCUAAUUUCUAAAAGAGCAUAUUUGUAAGUAUUUUAGUUGGGUAUAUUAUAUUUAAACCCCUGCACUUGAAAUCUUGUCGCCCUUUAUAUUAUAUACGACAACUGGUCACAUCAAAGUGAAAGAGGAGGGCACUGUAAUUUUUUAUAUUGAAAGGUAUUUAUGUGUAAUUAUCAGAAACUUCAGGGGAGGUUUCUGAAAUUAUCCCUAAUAUUUAUACUAUAUAUAAAGGGAGCCUUAAAUUUGGUGUAAACCUUUUUUUGUCAUCUUUUAGAUUUCCAGCUUCACCCUCUCGAUCACUUAAUCAUACCACCAUAUUGCUAAUCAGCUUAACCACAAAUUAACUUUCACCCCAAUUAUCUAAAUAUAUAUUGCCUACAUAACUACCUACAAACAUUGUAACCAACAAGUUAAUUAAAAUUCUAUUAAAGAACUAUUUUUUUGACAAAUAUUCAAAAAACUAGUAAAAGAACUAUAUUGUCUCCCUUAAUUUUGUUUGUCAGCACUUAAACUCCAUCUGUUUAAAUUGUAAGUAUUAUUAGUCAAAUAAGACAAUAAUAUUCUUCAUUUUUUCAGAUGUUUGUCCUCAAUUGUAAGAGAAGGUCGUAGGUCUAGCACAUACGUUGAAUAGCUGUAUCCGAUUAGAAGGAUUUAGAACUCUUCUACCAUCUCUUUUUUUUUUUCUUUUGUUUUUUCCUUCAAAAUUCUACAUCAUAAUGGAGUUGGUAAAAUAGUACUAUUUUCGUCUUUGAAGUUAAAAUUGUCAUCAAUUUAUGGAAAGUUUACUAUUACUCUGAUAAGAGAUGUUAAAAUUUACUUUUUACGAGCACUAAAGUUUUAAAGAUUAUGAAAAGAGAAUUGUAUGAAGGAAUAGAAGGGAAAAGAAAGGUAAGAAAAUGGAUGGAUUGUGUUUGGAUUGAUUUUGGGUGGGGAAAGGAGAGGAAACGGAAAGAAAAGGAAAUGGAUGGAUUGUGUUUUGCUCAGACAUCAUUUCCAUACAAAAAUAGACGGAAACAGAGGGAAAGAAAAUCUAGUUGAUGAUUUUCUUAUAAAAUGCCUCAAGCACCCAAAUUUUACAUAAACUUGAGUAACCAUGUGUUUCAUAUCUGUAGAACUUGCCAUUUGUGAAACCUGCUUUAGAUAUGAAUUGUGGGAUGCAACAGCAGGCUAGGAAUGUUUGACUAAGCAACUUAUGUAAAUAUUUUAUCGUUAAGUGAAGUUCCUCUUUUGCUGUUCAAAAAAAAAAAAAAAAAGAGAGAGAGAAAAACCAUUCCUUUAAUGUCUGUCAUUCUACCAAACAGCAGAUUUAGGUUUUCUUUCUUUCCCAUCCAUAUCUAAUCCAAAUAAGGCAAAUGAGAACUAUUUUCCACUACUCUCCUUUCCUUUCUUUUUCACUAGGAUGUUUUAUUUAUUUAUUUAUCCUUUCCUUUGAUCCAAAUGGUUCCUAAAAGGGCCCUAAAUAAUUAUUCUACAUUGAUCAGUUCCCUAUUUUUGUAUUAAUUUGCAUGUGCACGAUUCUGUGUAUGUUCAUGUUGUGCAUCAAAUCUUGUGAAUGACAAAGCUAGAGUGUAAAUUUAAGUUGAAGAAAUAUAAACCAAAAAAGAAAAUGGAUUGGGUCCUUUAAGAGUAUCAGACUUCUAAACCCCAAGGAUUACAUAAUUUUCAUAUCCUUUGCUAUACAAAGAAGUGGCAUAGCCUUAACAAUGAAGUGCUGGAAAAACUCCAGAAGGACUGUGCCAUCCAUGAAAUCACAAUUCCGCUUGCUAUACCAUGCAUUAAUGUGUAUGCCCUUGAUGAUUAAUAUAAUGAAAUCAUGGUUCUAGGCCUUGAAGGAAGGAAUAAGAGCGAAAGUGGAGCUAGCAACAAAAUUUGCAAUCAGUUAUCAGGAUGGGAAAGUUGAUGUACGUGGUGAUCCAGCCUAUGUGAGGGCUUGUUGUGAAGCGAGUUUGAAGCGGCUUGAUGUGGACUGCAUUGAUCUCUAUUAUCAACAUCGCAUCGAUACACGUGUGCCCAUUGAAGUCACGGUUUGCUCCAUCUUGCCAUCCACCUCAUUCUUGAUGAAACAAAAGUUUGAUCAACUCCAAAUUUCGAAUAAUUCAGUUUCAUGUGCGUUUCAAUUCUUCAAAAAUUGCACAGAAAAGUUAGUCAACCUUAUGGUCUAGGCUAAUCUGCAGUAUGCUAAAUCUUAUUUAGCACCAGGCACCCUGAAAAGUGAAAACAAUGAAAAUGUCUUAUAUUAGCUUGGCAGUCCUGCUGAGGGAUAUACAGGUGGAUAUCAUGCUAUACAUUGUACAGCUUUCCUUUAGAAGCAAGAGACCUGAGCAUUCUCUUUCAUUUGAGAUAGGCUAUCCAGUUGAGUAAUGAUAUGCUAUUUACUUACCUUGUCAUUCGUUUUCAGUCGGUGCCAAAAGCACUGCAGAUAGAAGUUUUUUAGUCGAUAUCUAAAAAACGUGGUACUCAUUUUGUUCAGAGUAUAGCUUUUUGUCUAAUUGUGAAAGCCAGCUGCGACUACCCCAUUGACCUCUCUAAGCAAUUCAAAGAUUGCAGCUGCUUGCUUACAUUCAGCUUUUAUGAAAACAAUUUCUGUCUUCUUUUUCUAAUAUAGUCAGCAAAGAAUUGUCUUGUUUUUCCUGAGUAUUAGGAAGAAACUUUCUUGCAGUUUAAUCACUUAAAAUACAGGCAAGUAUAAAGGAAAUCAAGGAAAUUGACAACUGAUAAUUGAUAUGUACAGCCAUUAUUAUAUCUAGACGAAGUCAACAAUGUCGUGUAAUCAUAUUGGAGGAGCAUUAUGUUGGCAUGGUCCGGUGGGCUGUACAUAGAGAAGUAUCACUGGAUGCUUAUUGCCAUUUUUGUCAAUUAUUGAUUUCAGUUUGACGUAUACUUUGUCCACGACUUCAUUGAACUAGUGCAACUUUUACUUUUUUGCACGUAAUAUUUCGAUUAUCUGCCUAAGUAUUGAAUGUAAUAAAUCAGCUUUGCAUUUUCUUGUCCAUUGAAAUUCUCUAGAUAGGAGAGCUCAAGAAACUGGUUGAAGAGGGUAAAAUAAAGUAUAUAGGUCUGUCUGAGUCCUCAGCUUCAACAAUUCGAAGAGCACAUGCUGUUCACCCAAUAACAGCUGUGCAGUUGGAGUGGUCAUUGUGGAGCAGAGAUGUCGAGGAGGAGAUUAUUCCCACUUGCAGGUAGUGCAUAUAUUCUGCUGCAUUUUCUACGUGGUCUAGAAGAAAUAUGAAGUUCUUAAUUCAGUUUUUGGUAUAAUCUUUCAGAGAGCUUGGAAUAGGGAUUGUUGCAUACAGUCCACUUGGAAGAGGAUUCUUCUCUUCAGGUCCAAAGCUGGUCGAGAAUUUUACUGAAGGUGACCGCCGAAAGGUUUGUGCAUAUCCAAAACUAUGGAGUUUUUGAGUAUAGAUUGUUUAUAGUUCGAAUAAGUUUCUCACUCAUCUAGUUUUACCACAUUCAGUGACAAUCUUGCUUGAUAUCCCUAUUCUUGUCUAUCUGUCAUAUGUUGCUGCACUUUUUGAUGUCCAAUAAUUUGAUUAAGCCUUAUAAUAUGAUCACAUUUAAUCAAAUUUCUAUUAAGCAGAGCAAAUCAACAGGCUUUUUUUUUUUUCCUGUCGAACAAGUCUUGAGGUCUUUAGUUGAUUGAAUGAAUUCAGAUUUUGGUGUCCUCUGUAUUUAGUUCAAAUUAAAAGAUAUGGCGCUAGCUUUGUCAGAUUUUAGAUCUUAUAUUAAUUGAAGGUUGUUAUUGCAUGCUGGACAACAAUCACAAGCAAUCGAUAGUAUCGAAUUUUAAAGUGCAAAGAUGUCCUAAGACGUCAAAACAGGAAGAAACUAUGUCACUUUUUAUGUAAAAGUCUCUUUUCAGUUUUGAGGGGAAGUGGACCUUGGACUUCAAUUUCAUCAUUUAGUCUCAGGCACAGAAUUUCAUCAUUUUGUCCUGUGAAACUAUCAUUUUUCCUUUACCAUUAAUCCUAAAACUGAGUUUCAUUGGUCAGAAGUGUACUUCUUAGUACAAACAAUAGUUGAUAUGCAUUUUAAGGUUCCCCUUUGAUGGGAAAUGUAUCUCAGAACUUAACUCCAACAGUUGAUGUUUCCUACUUGGAUUAUUCAGUCCACCUUGAUGCAUUGUUCUUUGCCCUGAACUUGUGUCCUUCAAACAAUAUUGCUGAUCAUCUCGAAGUAAUGUACCGUCUGUUCAUUUCUCCCUUCUGAUUUCUUGCAUUAUAGUUUGCUCUUUAAUGGGAAAUGUAUCUCAUGAUCUACCUUCUACAAUUAAUGUUUCUUAAGAGUACUCAGUCCAGCUUACUGGAUUGUUCUUUCCCCUGAACUUUGUACACCUCAAACAAUACUAUUGAUCAUCUUGAAGUUAUUCAUAUUGUCUUCAUUUGUAGACGACACAUGCUUCACUUCCUUUUGCAUUUCUGGCGUUACAGUAGCAUAAAAUUUUGAAAUUCAUACAAUGUAGGGUAUGCCAAGGUUUCAAGCAGAGAAUUUGGAGCACAACAAGAACUUGUACGAGCAGGUCAAUGCCAUUGCUUCAAGGAAGGGUUGUACCCCAUCACAGCUAGCUUUGGCCUGGGUCCAUCACCAAGGCAAAGAUGUUUGCCCCAUACCUGGCACUACCAAGAUUGAGAACCUCGAUCAGAAUAUAGGAGCUUUGUCUGUGAAACUGUCGGCAGAGGAAAUGGCGGAACUUGAAUCUAUUGCUUCGGCUAUCAAGGGUGAGAGAUACGAGUCUGACG